UGGGGAAUAUUGCACAAUGGGGGAAACCCUGAUGCAGCCAUGCCGCGUGUGUGAAGAAGGCCUUCGGGUUGUAAAGCACUUUCAGUAGGGAGGAAGGUAGUGUAGUUAACACCUGCAUUAUUUGACGUUACCUACAGAAGAAGCACCGGCUAACUCCGUGCCAGCAGCCGCGGUAAUACGGAGGGUGCGAGCGUUAAUCGGAAUUACUGGGCGUAAAGCGCAUGCAGGCGGCCUGUUAAGUCAGAUGUGAAAGCCCCGGGCUUAACCUCGGAAUUGCAUUUGAAACUGGCAGGCUAGAGUCUUGUAGAGGGGGUAGAAUUUCAGGUGUAGCGGUGAAAUGCGUAGAGAUCUGAAGGAAUACCAGUGGCGAAGGCGGCCCCUGGACAAAGACUGACGCUCAGAUGCGAAAGCGUGGGGAGCAAACAGGAUUAGAUACCCUGGUAA
Molecule: ribosomal RNA, 444 nt
Filed under: uncultured bacterium
Lineage: Bacteria
Description: bacterial SSU rRNA
Rfam family: Bacterial small subunit ribosomal RNA
Source: RNAcentral